Molecule: ribosomal RNA, 495 nt
Filed under: uncultured bacterium
Lineage: Bacteria
Description: partial 16S ribosomal RNA
Rfam family: Bacterial small subunit ribosomal RNA
Source: RNAcentral
GAUGAACGCUGGCGGCGUGCCUAAUACAUGCAAGUAGAACGCUGUAGGAGGAGCUUGCUCUUCUGGAUGAGUUGCGAACGGGUGAGUAACGCGUAGGUAACCUGCCUGGUAGCGGGGGAUAACUAUUGGAAACGAUAGCUAAUACCGCAUGACAACAGUUAUUGCAUGAUAACUGUUUAAAAGUGGCAACUGCUCCACUACCAGAUGGACCUGCGUUGUAUUAGCUAGUUGGUGAGGUAACGGCUCACCAAGGCGACGAUACAUAGCCGACCUGAGAGGGUGAUCGGCCACACUGGGACUGAGACACGGCACAGACUCCUACGGGAGGCAGCAGUAGGGAAUCGUCGGCAAUGGACGGAAGUCUGACCGAGCAACGCCGAGUGAGUGAAGAAGGUUGUCGGAUCGUAAAGCUCGGUUGUAAGAGAAGAAAGAGUGUGAGAGUGGAAAGUUCACACUGUGACGGUAACUGACCAGAAAGGGACGGCUAACUACGUG